RNAcentral lists this ribosomal RNA (460 nucleotides) under uncultured bacterium. RNAcentral describes it as "partial 16S ribosomal RNA". It matches the Rfam family "Bacterial small subunit ribosomal RNA", at positions 338 to 795 of the family's 1533-position model. The record is from RNAcentral.
CCUACGGGAGGCAGCAGUGAGGAAUAUUGGUCAAUGGACGCAAGUCUGAACCAGCCAUGCCGCGUGCAGGAAGACGGCUCUAUGAGUUGUAAACUGCUUUUGUACGAGGGUAAACGCAGAUACGCGUAUCUGUCUGACAGUAUCGUACGAAUAAGGAACGGCGAACUCCGUGCCAGCAGCCGCGGUAAUACGGAGGAUUCAAGCGUUAUCCGGAUUUAAUGGGUUUAAAGGGUGCGUAGUCGGUCGGAUAAGUUAGAGGUGAAAGCCCGGGGCUCAACUUCGGGAUUGCCUCUGAGACUGUUCGGCUAGAGAGUAGGUGCGGUAGGCGGAAUGUAUGGUGUAGCGGUGAAAUGCUUAGAGAUCAUACAGAACACCAGUUGCGAAGGCAGCUUACCAGGCUACUUCUGACGUUGAGGCACGAAAGCGUGGGGAGCAAACAGGAUUAGAUACCCCUGUAGUC